GUGAAAGCCCACGGCUCAACCGUGGAAGCGCAUUUGAAACUGGCAGGCUUGAGUACCAGAGGGGAAAGUGGAAUUCCCGGCGUAGAGGUGAAAUUCGUAGAUAUCGGGAGGAAUACCGGUGGCGAAGGCGACUUUCUGGCUGGAUACUGACGCUGAGACGCGAAAGCGCGGGGAGCAAACAGGAUUAGAUACCCUGGUAGUCCGCGCCGUAAACGAUGUGAACUGGAUGCAGGGGGUGUUGAUCCCCUCUGUGUCGCAGCCAACGCGCUAAGUUCACCGCCUGGGGAGUACGGCCGCAAGGUUAAAACUCAAAGGAAUUGACGGGGGCCCGCACAAGCGGUGGAGUAUGUGGGUUUAAUUCGAUGCAACGCGAAGAACCUUACCUGGUCUUGACAUCCCGGGGAAUUCCCUUGAAA
This 416-nucleotide ribosomal RNA is filed under the name uncultured bacterium. RNAcentral describes it as "bacterial SSU rRNA". It matches the Rfam family "Bacterial small subunit ribosomal RNA", at positions 594 to 1006 of the family's 1533-position model. The record is from RNAcentral.